UGAGAAAGGCCUCAGGCCUGGGGGUCCUCUGGGAGCGGGGCCUGGAGGGCCUGCCCAGCAUCUGCCCUGAUCCAGAAGGGAGUUCCCCUGGCCUCGUGUUGCGUUUGGCACUUAAUAAUGCAGCCGCUGUCCUAGAAGGCUCUCCCACCACCACCUUCCCGCCCCACACAGGACUGCAGAGAGUUAUUCUAACCGGAGGGAUGACAGCCUCUGUUGAGACACCAGUGGAACCACAGGAGGACACAGUUCUGUCUACGCAGGGCCAGACCAGACAGGCACCCAGCGUCCAGAAGAGGGCAGUCUGGACUGUGAGAUGGGACAGUUGGGGGGACUCCCGGAGGGCCGAUAAUGCUCCAGUUCCUGAUUGGGUGUUGGUUAUAUGGAGUCACUUUGUGAAAAGUGACUUUUCUUGCACUUUUCUGUAUAUGGUAUUCAAUAUUUACCAAAAAAAAAAUAAGGACCUUUUCAGAAAGGUGUCCUCUUUAACACACCUGCCAGCGAGCUUAUUGCCACGGCCGCCCUCCUCCCAGCUCCCUUCUCCUCCGCGAAGGCACCUCCUUUGCCCAGCGAGGAGCCCAGGAUCCGCUGGCCUCAGACCUGCCCGCACGGCCCACCCCCCGCCGGCUGAGCCGGGAGCCGCCUGUCCCUCUACUGCCUCCCCGAGCCUGCGGUGAGGGGUUCGGGGUCUCCCCCCACACCCCAUCUUGCCCUCCUCUGUCGCCUGGCACACGUUGCCCUGUCCAGGAGCACCGAGGGCUCUGGAGGCCCUUCUUGGUCGUUCUGUGACCCAUCUCGGCACAGCUCCUGGCGUGCCCGGGGCACCUCCUCUGUCGCAGUGUGGGCCACACAGCAUGCGCUCGGAAGAGCCCCGCCCCGCCCGCCGUCGGGGAGACACCGGUCCUCACUCACCUCUCGGGUUCUGCUCGAGUUCGCAGCACGCGUCCCACCCCCACUUCGCUCAGGCUUCACAGAGCACGACUCCCAGGUGCUGGUCCCUCUGCUGGGCUGCACCCGUGGCCACGGCCUGUCGCGUGUUCUGUGUCCCCUCUUGGCAGCCGGCAUGCUUCCCUCCCCACGAGUGGCCAGGCUGCCAGGGGACAGCGGGGCCGGGGAGGCCUGGGGACUGGAUGGCGAGACAGCCCACAGGUGGGAACAGGCAUGGGACAUGCCUGGUGACUUUUCCCGAAAAACCCUAAACCCCAGUCCACCUGGAGGUGGCCCUUGCUGGCUGUCACGGUGUCCGCAUCACGCCCCCUCCCCGCCACCCCGGAGUUCUGCCUGGGUGUCUACUGCGUGCCCGUGUGCCUUGAAGAUGACGCGGUCCCAGCCUACAGGUCAGCUCAGACCCGCAGCCACAGGCAGACGCACAGAGGUGAUGGGACCCGCGGCCCGGCCAAGGCUCUGUUGAGAAGCCUCGCGGGGAGUCCUCCACGCCCCUGGGGACCAAGCCAUCCUGCCGACAGCAGGGCCUGAGGGACGGGCCCUAGGGCUUCCUUGGUGCCUGCCCUCCUGCACGGCUGCUUCCUCGGACAGAACGUCCCUUCCUCUCCACCGCCAGCUGGAGAGCAGCUUCGCGUGGCCCACGGUGUGAGCAGCCCUGAGUGACACUGCUUUACGUGUUGUUAACUAACUCAGUCCUCAGCUGCAGGCUGGACUCUCCCAGUUCACAACCUCUGACCCAGUUCAACCCCUUUAUUAUUUUUUUUAAUUUAUUUUUGGCUGCAUUGGGUCUUAAUUGCUGCACACAGGCUUUCUCUAGUGGAGAGCGGAGGCUACUCUUUGUUGCGGUGUGCGGGCUUCUCAUUGCAGUGGCUUCUCUUGUUGUGGACCACGGGCUCUUAGGUGCGCGGGCUUCAGCAGUGGCGGCACGCGGGCUCUAGAGUGCAGGCUCAGUAGUUGUGGCACACGGGCUUAGUUGCUCCGCGGCAUGUGGGAUCUUCCCAGACCAGGGCUCGAACCCGUGUCCCCUGCAUUGGCAAGUGGAUUCUUAACCACUGCACCAUCAGGGAAGCCCAACCCGUUUAUUCUUAAAUGGGGAACUGAAGCCCAGACGGGGAAAGCCAACUGCUCUGGUCAUGGAGCUCUUUCCUGAAACCAACGUGCCCACUCGGUGAGGCGGGGGGUAGGGGUGGGGGGUGGAGGCAGCACCCACUCAGCGCAGCUCCUACAGGUCGCCAGACGCGCUUUGAAAUCAAAGUGUGUGGGUUUGAGGGCUUGGUUUCUCAAUAGCUAUUUAAAGCCCAGUUAUCGGAUUACUUAAAAGCUACUGCCACUAAGGCAGAGAGCACGUGACCGACCCCCAGCCCCUCGGUACUGAAAAGACGGCAUCUCAUCUCUUGAGAUGGGAAGUCCCAGGGCAGCUGGGUCCACCUCACUGGGUUCAGGAACAUUCUCUGGUGGGUGGCUCCCAGGUAUACCCUAGGUAUCCUGGUGUUUAAACAAAACUCGACGUGUAACUGACAGUAUUCUGAUGGUUGUGUGUGUGUAAAAACUACAUAUAAAAGUGUUAGGGGGGGGCCUCCCUGGUGGCGCAGUGAUUGAGAGUCCGCCUGCCAAUGCAGGGGACACGGGUUCGUGCCCUGGUCCGGGAAGAUCCCAUGUGCCGCGGAGCGUCUAGGCCCGUGAGCCAUGGCCGCUGAGCCUGCGCGUCUGGAGCCUGUGCUCCGCAAGGGAGAGGCCACAACAGUGAGAGGCCCGCGUACCACAACAACAAUAAAAAAAAGUGUUAGGCUGCUUUACCAGCUCCCACGGACCCCAAAGUCUGGCUGAGACAGAACAUACUUUUCUCCAGUGUUAUCAGCUGGUGUAAACAGUUUAGGAAAGAUAAAUGACCAGCCCAGUUGGGCAUAAGAACCUCUGAGAUACGAAAUUCCAGGGCUGUGUCUCCAGCCCUCAGGGAGGUCCUGGAAGGGCCUCAUCGUGGUACCUGCUUCUCGACCAUCACCCUCUGGAUCAGGUUUCUAAAUGAAAUCUCGUUCUCUCUUGUGUGAUCUGUACCUGGCCGAUUGAUACAGCAGCCGCUCACUGUAUGACUAGAUGAAAAUACAAAUUUAAAAUUAAAAACUCAGCUCCUUACAGUUGCACUCUCCACUUUUCAAGUGCUCAGCAGCCCGUGUCCAGUGGCCACUCUGCUGGGCCGCCCAGUUCCGGAACAUUUCUGCCUGAUCCAUAAUCUCUCCGGGUUUGUUUACCGACGCACAGAUGAUUGGAUCCUGUGUCUGCUGCCUUUGCAAGAGGCCACGACGACUAGGUGGCCUAUUAAAAACAGGCCUUUUCACCUGCUCCCCAGGGGCUCUCUUUGGGGCAGAGCUGGUCCUUCUGUCCGCUCUGCUGUGCUCUUGGACUCCCACUCUGACUUGGUAGCGAUGAAACGCGGUAGCUUGUCUAACGGACAGGUUGUAGGCAGCGGAGGCAUCUGAGGGUGUACACCGCUGACAGUUGCAGCUUUUUCUUUGGCACUUUGCAGAGGAUACUGAAAUAUUACUUCAAAAGAUGAAGCGAUAGAAAUGGAAUACGAAUCAGUCAUUAUACCUCAUGAUGCGUCUGUGAACGCCCUGUACUUACUUUUGGGUUAUUACCGUCUUCAGCCCAAGGUUAGAUGCACGUUUACAGACAUGGAAAACUGAAAAUCGAGAAGAGUCAGGGUGACUGGGUGAGAGGCUCUGAAAUGACGGAUGGCAGCGCCUCGUUCAGGAAGUGCACGAACCUUGUGGCCUUUGAUGAUUUUUAAAAGCCAAUUAAUAUUUUCUUGUGGCCUUUAUUAAUUAGCAUUUUCCAUUAUUCUCCAGAUCAGAACAUAGUAACCUAUUGGUACGUCUUAAACAGCACACAGGUGACGGUGGUACUUGUCUCAUCAACGGAGUUCUGAUGGAGGGACACCUACAUGCUGCUGAUCCGUGAGGAUGAGAGGGGCGCAGAGGUGCUAUUCAUGGGCUCACACAGUUCCUGCCACAGGCCUGCAGCUCAUCACAGCCCAGGCAGCAGUGCUGGGGCUCGUUAGAAGCAUAAAUGCUUCUAAGGUGAUAUGAGAAAAUGCUAUGAUCCCACCAUGAGGUUGGGUGCUGGGGAGGGAGGGGAAAAUAUCUAUAUAUCUAAAUAUAUCAAUAUUUAUCUAUAUCUCAAAGGAAAUAUAAUGAAAUGUUAACAGGAGUUAUCCUAGAAGUGAGAUUAUAAAUAGAAUUUUCUUUUUAAUACUGUUGUAUGUUUUCCAAAUUUUCUACCCAAACAAAAAUUCUCUGGAUUAUUUUUAUGAACAGUGUUAUUUUUAGAAGUAGUAUUUAAAAUGAGAUGUAAUGAUUAGAUGUUUUAAUUUUUACAAGGAGACCCUGACCAAACUUGGACUUUGCUGUUUAGCCAAAACCUGUAGCUUCGACUGCCCGCCGGAUUUAAAAGGAAACCUAAUUUCAGCAUAUGUUUAAUGUACCCAGCAAAUGGCAACAUUUGAGCAGUGGACGGGACUCCUACCGUCCCCUCCCUGGAUGAACGAAUGCUGCCCGGAAGGAUGGGAAAGGACGCGGUACAGCUCAGGCGGCCCGGCUCGGGGAGCGUCACCCCUGGCCUGCCCAUCCCGCCGCUUCUCCGCCGUUGCCCCAACCGCGCCCAGCCACGCAGACCCCACGACACCGUCUGAAGGCUUUGGGUUUCAUCAGAGCUCUUCCUUCAGGACUCGGCUCAAAUGCUUGCCUCCAAGAAGCCACUUCUGAUGCUUCCCAGGAGCCUGAGCCAGGGCCUUCCCCGCCUCCUGUCACCCUGCACCUUUUCCACAGCCCCAAUAAACAGCGCUCACUGGACUCAGUUCCGGGGUUGAUUCCUAUUUGUUACCCUAGAGCCUAGCCCAGGGCCUGGACUGUAAUAAGCUCAUCAAUAAAUGUUCCAUGGACGAGUUCCAGUGCGACCCGCAGAUGCCCUCUACAAAGUGUACCUUCACGUGCCAUGUGAUUGGGUUUAAAAAAGUUUCGUUGGUCACAGUAGUCUGAUACCAUAGAAAUGUUUGUUGCCAACGUUAUAAAUGUGACCUCACUGUAACUAUCGACUCUAUACCUGUUCCCUUUUACUGCAAGGUUUCACUUACUAUUAAGAAAAGUGUUCGUCAACAUUCAUUAUUCUGACAUUUGCAAAAUCAACGCCAACUAAUCGCCAUUGGAAUCACAGAAGGAGGGCGUUUUCAUUACAUAUUUAGAGUUUUUUUUUUUUUUUUUUUUGUGGUACGCGGGCCUCUCACUGUUGUGGCCUCUCCCGUUGCGGAGCACAGGCUCCGGACGCGCAGGCUCAGCGGCCAUGGCUCACGGGCCCAGCCUCUCCACGGCAUAUGGGAUCUUCCCGGACCGGGGCACGAACCCUUGUCCCCUGCAUCGGCAGGCGGACUCUCAACCACUGCGCCACCAGGGAAGCCCUGUUUGUAGAUUUUUUGACGAUAGGCCCCCUAUUUCUGUCUUGCAGGCUGGAAGGCCUUUUUCAGUCUUUCAUUUUAGUGGCCUUUAUUUUUUUAUUUCAUAUAAGAAUAUUUAAAAGCUCUAGGGCUCCCCUGGUGGUGCAGUGGUUGAGAGUCUGCCUGCUGAUGCAGGGGACACGGGUUCGUGCCCCGGUCCGGGAAGAUCCCACAUGCCACAGAGCGGCUGGGCCCGUGGGCCAUGGCCGCUGAGCCUGCGUGUACGCUGUGCUCCGCAACAGGAGAGGCCACAACAGUGACAGGCCUGCGUACCAAAAAAAAAAAAAAAAUCUACAAACAAUAAAUGCUGGAGAGGGUGUGGAGAAAAGGGAACCCUCUUGCACUGUUGGUGGGAAUGUAAAUUGAUACAGCCACUAUGGAGAACAGUACGGCGGUUCCUUAAAAAACUAAAAAUAGAACUACCACACAACCCAGCAAUCCCACUACUGGGCCUAUACCCUGAGAAAACCAUAAUUCAAAAAGAGUCAUGUACCACAAUGUUCAUUGCAGCUCUAUUUACAAUAUCCAGGACAUGGAAGCAACCUAACUGUCCAUCGACAGAUGAAUGCUUAAAGAAGGUGUGGCACAUAUAUACAAUGGAAUAUUACUCAGCCAUAAAAAGAAACGAAAUUGAGUUAUUUGUAGUGAGGUGGAUGGACCUAGAGUCUGUCAUACAGAGUGAAGUAAGUCAGAAAGAGAAAGACAAAUACCGUAUGCUAACACAUAUAUAUGGAAUCUAAAAAAAAAAAAGGUUCUGAAGAACCUAGUGGCAGGACAGGAAUAAAGACUCAGACACAGAGAAUGCACUUGAGGACACGGGGAGGGGGAAGGGUAAGCUGGGAUGAAGUGAGAGAGUCGCAUGGACAUAUAUACACUACCAAAUGUAAAACAGAUAGCUAGUGGGAAGCAGCCGCAUAGCACAGGGAGAUCAGCUCGGUGCUUUGUGACCACCUAGAAGGGUGGGAUAGGGAGGGCGGGAGGGAGACGCAAGAGGGAGGGGAUAUGGGGAUAUAUGUGUACGUAUAGCUGAUUCAUUUUGUAUACAGCAGCAGCUAACACAACAUUGUAAAGCAAUUAUACUCCAAUAAAGAUGUUAAAAAAAAAGAAAUAGGGGG
Molecule: long non-coding RNA, 6543 nt
Organism: Orcinus orca (killer whale)
Lineage: Eukaryota; Metazoa; Chordata; Mammalia; Artiodactyla; Delphinidae
Exons: 3
Source: RefSeq, a predicted model, not a curated record